UGGGGGAUAUUGCACAAUGGGGGAAACCCUGAUGCAGCGACGCCGCGUGGAGGAAGAAGGUUUUCGGAUUGUAAACUCCUGUCGUUAGGGACGAUAAUGACGGUACCUAACAAGAAAGCACCGGCUAACUACGUGCCAGCAGCCGCGGUAAAACGUAGGGUGCAAGCGUUGUCCGGAAUUACUGGGUGUAAAGGGAGCGCAGGCGGGAAGACAAGUUGGAAGUGAAAACCAUGGGCUCAACCCAUGAAUUGCUUUCAAAACUGUUUUUCUUGAGUAGUGCAGAGGUAGAUGGAAUUCCCGGUGUAGCGGUGGAAUGCGUAGAUAUCGGGAGGAACACCAGUGGCGAAGGCGGUCUACUGGGCACCAACUGACGCUGAGGCUCGAAAGCAUGGGUAGCAAACAGG
Molecule: ribosomal RNA, 404 nt
Filed under: bacterium
Lineage: Bacteria
Also listed under: 2 other names
Description: partial 16S ribosomal RNA
Rfam family: Bacterial small subunit ribosomal RNA
Source: RNAcentral